AUUGAACGCUGGCGGCAUGCCUUACACAUGCAAGUCGAACGGCAGCACGGGUGCUUGCACCUGGUGGCGAGUGGCGAACGGGUGAGUAAUAUAUCGGAACGUACCUUAUUGUGGGGGGUAACGCAGCGAAAGCUGUGCUAAUACCGCAUAAUCCCUAAGGGGGAAAGCGGGGGACCGUAAGGCCUCGCGCAAUUAGAGCGGCCGAUACCUGAUUAGCUAGUUGGUGAGGUAGAGGCUCACCAAGGCAACGAUCAGUAGCUGGUCUGAGAGGACGAUCAGCCACACUGGGACUGAGACACGGCCCAGACUCCUACGGGAGGCAGCAGUGGGGAAUUGUGGACAAUGGGGGCAACCCUGAUCCAGCAAUGCCGCGUGAGUGAAGAAGGCCUUCGGGUUGUAAAGCUCUUUUGUCAGGGAAGAAACAGCAGCUCUAACACAGUAUGCGAAUGACGGUACCUGAAGAAUAAGCACCGGCUAACUACGUGCCAGCAGCCACCGUAA
Molecule: ribosomal RNA, 501 nt
Filed under: uncultured bacterium
Lineage: Bacteria
Description: partial 16S ribosomal RNA
Rfam family: Bacterial small subunit ribosomal RNA
Source: RNAcentral